This 338-nucleotide unclassified non-coding RNA is filed under the name soil metagenome. RNAcentral's name for it is "partial contains 5.8S ribosomal RNA, internal transcribed spacer 2, and large subunit ribosomal RNA". The stretch from base 1 to 120 matches the Rfam family "5.8S ribosomal RNA", at positions 35 to 154 of the family's 154-position model. The record is from RNAcentral.
GAUGAAGAACGUAGCGAAAUGCGAUACGUAAUGUGAAUUGCAGAAUCCAGUGAAUCAUCGAAUCUUUGAACGCACAUUGCGCCCUUUGGUAUUCCAAAGGGCAUGCCUGUUCGAGCGUCAUUUGUACCCUCAAGCUUUGCUUGGUGUUGGGCGUCUUGUCUCCAGUUCGCUGGAGACUCGCCUUAAAGUAAUUGGCAGCCGGCCUACUGGUUUCGGAGCGCAGCACAAGUCGCGCUCUCUUCCAGCCAAGGUCAGCAUCCACAAAGCCUUUUUUCAACUUUUGACCUCGGAUCAGGUAGGGAUACCCGCUGAACUUAAGCAUAUCAAUAAGCGGAGGA